This 305-nucleotide ribosomal RNA is filed under the name uncultured bacterium. RNAcentral describes it as "bacterial SSU rRNA". It matches the Rfam family "Bacterial small subunit ribosomal RNA", at positions 335 to 639 of the family's 1533-position model. The record is from RNAcentral.
UACCUACGGGAGGCAGCAGUGAGGAAUAUUGGUCAAUGGGCGCGAGCCUGGACCAGCCAAGUCGCGUGAGGGAAGACGGUCCUAUGGAUUGUAAACCUCUUUUGUCGGGGAGCAAAAGACGCCACGCGUGGCGUUCCGAGAGUACCCGAAGAAAAAGCAUCGGCUAACUCCGUGCCAGCAGCCGCGGUAAUACGGAGGAUGCGAGCGUUAUCCGGAUUUAUUGGGUUUAAAGGGUGCGUAGGCGGUCCGGAAAGUCAGCGGUAAAAGCCCGGGGCUCAACCCCGGCGAGCCGUGGAAACUGUCGG